CCUACGGGAGGCAGCAGUGAGGAAUAUUGGUCAAUGGACGCAAGUCUGAACCAGCCAUGCCGCGUGCAGGAAGACGGCUCUAUGAGUUGUAAACUGCUUUUGUACGAGGGUAAACGCAGAUACGCGUAUCUGUCUGAAAGUAUCGUACGAAUAAGGAUCGGCUAACUCCGUGCCAGCAGCCGCGGUAAUACGGAGGAUUCAAGCGUUAUCCGGAUUUAUUGGGUUUAAAGGGUGCGUAGGCGGUCGGAUAAGUUAGAGGUGAAAUCCCGAGGCUCAACUUCGGAAUUGCCUCUGAUACUGUUCGGCGAGAGUGUAGUUGCGGUAGGCGGAAUGUAUGGUGUAGCGGUGAAAUGCUUAGAGAUCAUACAGAACACCGAUUGCGAAGGCAGCUUACCAAGCUACUUCUGACGUUGAGGCACGAAAGCGUGGGGAGCAAACAGGAUUAGAUACCCGAGUAGUC
Molecule: ribosomal RNA, 460 nt
Filed under: uncultured bacterium
Lineage: Bacteria
Description: partial 16S ribosomal RNA
Rfam family: Bacterial small subunit ribosomal RNA
Source: RNAcentral